This is a non-coding RNA of Cajanus cajan (pigeon pea), 90 nucleotides long. NCBI's taxonomy places the organism in Eukaryota, Viridiplantae, Streptophyta, Magnoliopsida, Fabales, Fabaceae. The record is from Rfam.
CACUGGAGGCAGUGGUUCAUCGAUCUCUUCCUGAGUUUGGCCGUGGAAGAACACGAAUCAGGAAUCGGUCGAUAAACCUCUGCAUCCAGU